ACUCCUACGGGAGGCAGCAGUGGGGAAUCUUGGACAAUGGGCGCAAGCCUGAUCCAGCCAUGCCGCGUGAGCGAUGAAGGCCUUAGGGUCGUAAAAACUCUUUCGCCAGGGAUGAUAAUGACAGUACCUGGUAAAGAAACCCCGGCUAACUCCGUGCCAGCAGCCGCGGUAAUACGGAGGGGUUAGCGUUGUUCGGAAUUACUGGGGCGUAAAGCGCGCGUAGGCGGACUAGUUAGUCAGAGGUGAAAUCCCGGGGGCUCAACCCCGGAACUGCCUUUGAUACUGCUAGUCUUGAGUUCGAGAGAGGUGAGUGGAAUUCCGAGUGUAGAGGUGAAAUUCGUAGAUAUUCGGAGGAACACCAGUGGCGAAGGCGGCUCACUGGCUCGAUACUGACGCUGAGGUGCGAAAGUGUGGGGAGCAAACAGGAUUAGAUACCCUGGUAGGAUAGCC
This 450-nucleotide ribosomal RNA is filed under the name uncultured bacterium. RNAcentral describes it as "bacterial SSU rRNA". It matches the Rfam family "Bacterial small subunit ribosomal RNA", at positions 335 to 796 of the family's 1533-position model. The record is from RNAcentral.